GACGAACGCUGGCGGCGUGCUUAACACAUGCAAGUCGAACGGUAACAGGCCCUUCGGGGUGCUGACGAGUGGCGGACGGGUGAGUAAUGCUUAGGAAUCUGCCUAGUAGUGGGGGAUAACCCGGGGAAACUCGGGCUAAUACCGCAUACACCCUACGGGGGAAAGGCGGGGGACGUUUCGGGCCGUCGCGCUAUUAGAUGAGCCUAAGUCCGAUUAGCUAGUUGGUAGGGUAAGUGGCCUACCAAGGCGACGAUCGGUAGCUGGUCUGAGAGGACGACCAGCCACCACUGGGACUGAGACACGGCCCAGACUCCUACGGGAGGCAGCAGUGGGGAAGUAUUUGGGACAAUGGGCGGCAAGCCUGAUCCAGCGAUGCCGCGUGUGUGAAGAAGGCCUGCGGGUUGUAAAGCAC
RNAcentral lists this ribosomal RNA (412 nucleotides) under uncultured bacterium. Its description in RNAcentral is "bacterial SSU rRNA". It matches the Rfam family "Bacterial small subunit ribosomal RNA", at positions 28 to 433 of the family's 1533-position model. The record is from RNAcentral.